RNAcentral lists this ribosomal RNA (253 nucleotides) under uncultured bacterium. RNAcentral's name for it is "partial 16S ribosomal RNA". It matches the Rfam family "Bacterial small subunit ribosomal RNA", at positions 524 to 776 of the family's 1533-position model. The record is from RNAcentral.
UACGGAGGGUGCGAGCGUUAAUCGGAAUUACUGGGCGUAAAGCGCACGCAGGCGGUUUGUUAAGCUAGAUGUGAAAGCCCCGGGCUCAACCUGGGAUGGUCAUUUAGAACUGGCAGACUAGAGUCUUGGAGAGGGGAGUGGAAUUCCAGGUGUAGCGGUGAAAUGCGUAGAUAUCUGGAGGAACAUCAGUGGCGAAGGCGACUCCCUGGCUAAAGACUGACGCUCAUGUGCGAAAGUGUGGGUAGCGAACAGG